This 77-nucleotide transfer RNA is filed under the name Alphaproteobacteria bacterium. Its description in RNAcentral is "tRNA-Pro". It matches the Rfam family "tRNA". From Rfam's summary of the family: Transfer RNA (tRNA) molecules are approximately 80 nucleotides in length. Their secondary structure includes four short double-helical elements and three loops (D, anti-codon, and T loops). Further hydrogen bonds mediate the characteristic L-shaped molecular structure. tRNAs have two regions of fundamental functional importance: the anti-codon, which is responsible for specific mRNA codon recognition, and the 3' end, to which the tRNAs corresponding amino acid is attached (by aminoacyl-tRNA synthetases). tRNAs cope with the degeneracy of the genetic code in two manners: having more than one tRNA (with a specific anti-codon) for a particular amino acid; and 'wobble' base-pairing, i.e. permitting non-standard base-pairing at the 3rd anti-codon position. Lineage: Bacteria; Pseudomonadati; Pseudomonadota; Alphaproteobacteria. The record is from RNAcentral.
CGGAGUGUAGCUCAGCCUGGUAGAGCACCGUCUUCGGGAGGCGGGAGUCGGAGAUUCAAUUCCUCUCACUCCGACCA